CUCUAUUUAAAAACGCAGUUUUUACAUCUAAUUGAUCCAAUUCCCAAUUAAAUUGAGCUGCAAGGGCAAGUAUGGCUCUAACAGUUGUAAAUUUUACAACGGGGGAAAAUAUUUCAUUAAAGUCUAUCCUCUCCUUUUGAGCAAAACCUUUAGCCACAAGUCUUGCCUUGUAUCUAAUGUCAUUCUCAUCUUUUUCACCUCUUUUGAUCUUAUAGACCCACUUGCAAUCUAUAACUCUCUUUUCUUUAGGUCUUUUAACCAAUGUCCAAGUUUUAUUCUUUCUCAACGAUUCCAUCUCAUCAUGCAUUGUUUCUAGCCAAUACUUAGAGUCCUUGCUACUCAUAGCAUCUUUAUAGGACUCAGGUUCAUUCUCAAUGAACCCUGAACAGUAAGAAGGGAUAUCUCAUCAUCAAAUCUCACAGGUGGUCUUAUUUUUCUUAUUUCUCUAUCUCUAGCAAGUUGAUAAUCAUUUAAGGGUUGAUUUACCUCAAAAUCGGAUUCAUUUUUAUCAGUUUCUUCAUUAUUUUGAGCCUCAAUUUCACUAUUUUCAAUCUAAUCAGGUUGUAGAUUAUCAUUGUUAACUUGCUCCACCUCAAUUUCAGUUUCCCUUCCUUCAUUUUCAGUCUGACCAGAUUCAUUAGUGUUAUUUUCAGAUUUCAAACAACACAUAUCAGAUUCAUUAAACACCACAUUUCUACUUAUAAUGAUCUUAUAACCUUUGGUCUCUCUUACCCAAAGUCUAUACCCCUUCACCAUAGCCCAAAAAAACACAUCUAAGCGCCCUAGGUUUCAGUUUCCCUUCAGAUUGAUGUGCAAAUGCUGCACACCCAAAUAUUUUUAGAUUACUCAAAUCUACAAGUUUUCCUAUCCAAACUUCUUUAGGGGAUUUACAUUGUAUAGCACUAGCGGGACUUCUAUAUAUGAGAUAACUAGUAGUUUUUGUAACUUCCCCCCAAAAUAACUUGGGAAGACCAGAACCUAAUAACAUGCAUCUAACUCUUUCAAGAAUAGUUCGGUUCAUUCUUUCAGCAAAAUCAUUUUGUUGUGGGGUGUGUGUCAUUGUUCUGUGUCUCAAAAUGCCAUGCAAUUUGCACAAUUCAUCAAAUUCAUAAUUGCAAAACUCAAGCUCAUUAUCAGUCC
Molecule: long non-coding RNA, 1140 nt
Filed under: Olea europaea subsp. europaea
Lineage: Eukaryota; Viridiplantae; Streptophyta; Magnoliopsida; Lamiales; Oleaceae
Source: RNAcentral